GAUGAACGCUAGCGGCAGGCUUAAUACAUGCAAGUCGAGGGGCAGCACGGUUAGCAAUAACUGGUGGCGACCGGCGCACGGGUGCGUAACACGUAUACAAUCUACCUUAAACAGGGGGAUAGCCUUUCGAAAGAGAGAUUAAUACCCCGUAAUAAAUUGAACGGCAUCGUUUGAUCUUGAAAGCUCCGGCGGUUUGAGAUGAGUAUGCGUCUGAUUAGCUAGUUGGUGAGGUAACGGCUCACCAAGGCGACGAUCAGUAGGGGAUCUGAGAGGACUAACCCCCACACUGGUACUGAGACACGGACCAGACUCCUACGGGAGGCAGCAGUAAGGAAUAUUGGUCAAUGGAGGCAACUCUGAACCAGCCAUGCCGCGUGCAGGAUGACGGCCCUAUGGGUUGUAAACUGCUUUUAUACAAGAGAAAACCCUGGUACGUGUACCAGGUUGAUAGUAUUGUAAGAAUAAGCAUCGGCUAACUUCGUGCCAGCAGCCGCGGUAAU
RNAcentral lists this ribosomal RNA (500 nucleotides) under uncultured bacterium. RNAcentral describes it as "bacterial SSU rRNA". It matches the Rfam family "Bacterial small subunit ribosomal RNA", at positions 28 to 524 of the family's 1533-position model. The record is from RNAcentral.